This is a non-coding RNA of Bos taurus (domestic cattle), 72 nucleotides long. NCBI's taxonomy places the organism in Eukaryota, Metazoa, Chordata, Mammalia, Artiodactyla, Bovidae. The record is from Rfam.
UCCCUGGUGGUCCAGUGGUUAGGACUCAGCACUUGCACUGCAGUGGCCUAGGUUGAAUCCCUGGUUGGGGAA